This 468-nucleotide ribosomal RNA is filed under the name uncultured diatom. Its description in RNAcentral is "SSU rRNA". It matches the Rfam family "Bacterial small subunit ribosomal RNA", at positions 217 to 699 of the family's 1533-position model. Lineage: Eukaryota; Bacillariophyta. The record is from RNAcentral.
GCCUAAAGAGAAGCUUGCGGCUGAUUAGCUUGUUGGUGAGGUAAUGGCUCACCAAGGCGACGAUCAGUAUCUGGUUUGAGAGGAUGAUCAGACACACUGGAACUGAGACACGGUCCAGACUCCUACGGGAGGCAGCAGUGGGGAAUUUUCCGCAAUGGGCGAAAGCCUGACGGAGCAAUACCGCGUGAGGGAUGACGGCCUAUGGGUUGUAAACCUCUUUUUUCAGGGAGGAAUCAAUGACGUGUACCUGAAGAAUAAGCAUCGGCUAACUCCGUGCCAGCAGCCGCGGUAAGACGGAGGAUGCAAGUGUUAUCCGGAAUCACUGGGCGUAAAGCGUCUGUAGGUGGUCCAAUAAGUCAACUGUUAAAUCUUGAGGCUCAACCUCAAAAUCGCAGUCGAAACUGUUAGACUAGAGUAUAGUAGGGGUAAAGGGAAUUUCCAGUGGAGCGGUGAAAUGCGUAGAUAUUG